UUGACCCGUCUUGAAACACGGACCAAGAAGUCUAUCUUACGCGCAAGCCAAUGGGCAUACCACAUACCAUGUGCAGAAGUGCUGCCGGUAUAUUAUAACCAUUAAACCCACAGGCGAAGACAACUCGAUUGUCACGGGAUUACGGGCACGGAUGGGGCGCAAGCCCCUAAUAGAACCGAGCCCCUCCAUCCCAGGGUGCUCCGUCACGGGUGCUUGCACCCAGCGGGCAUCCCCGGAGUGCGCAGGAUGUGACCCGAAAGAUGGUGAACUAUGCUUGAUCAGGUCGAAGUCAGGGGAAACCCUGAUGGAGGACCGAAGCAAUUCUGACGUGCAAAUCGAUUGUCAGAGUUGAGCAUAGGGGCGAAAGACCAAUCGAACCAUCUAGUAGCUGGUUCCUUCCG
Molecule: ribosomal RNA, 401 nt
Filed under: Anopheles parensis
Lineage: Eukaryota; Metazoa; Arthropoda; Insecta; Diptera; Culicidae
Description: eukaryotic LSU rRNA
Rfam family: Eukaryotic large subunit ribosomal RNA
Source: RNAcentral